CAAGCAGCGGAGCAUGUGGUUUAAUUCGAAGCAACGCGAAGAACCUUACCUAGACUUGACAUCUCCUGCAUUACUCUUAAUCGAGGAAGUCCCUUCGGGGACAGGAUGACAGGUGGUGCAUGGUUGUCGUCAGCUCGUGUCGUGAGAUGUUGGGUUAAGUCCCGCAACGAGCGCAACCCUUAUUGUUAGUUGCCAUCAUUAAGUUGGGCACUCUAGCGAGACUGCCCGGGUUAACCGGGAGGAAGGUGGGGAUGACGUCAAAUCAUCAUGCCCCUUAUGUCUAGGGCUACACACGUGCUACAAUGGUCGGUACAAUAAGACGCAAGCCCCGCGAGGGGGUAGCAAAACUGGAAAACCGAUCUCAGUUCGGAUUGUAGGCUGAAACUCGCCUACAUGAAGCUGGAGUUUGCUAGUAAUCGCGAAUCAGCAUGUCGCGGUGAAUACGUUCCCCGGGGCCUUGUACACACC
RNAcentral lists this ribosomal RNA (468 nucleotides) under uncultured bacterium. Its description in RNAcentral is "bacterial SSU rRNA". It matches the Rfam family "Bacterial small subunit ribosomal RNA", at positions 926 to 1391 of the family's 1533-position model. The record is from RNAcentral.